This 200-nucleotide long non-coding RNA is filed under the name Canis lupus familiaris (dog). RNAcentral's name for it is "lncRNA (ENSCAFG00845014576.1)". The record is from RNAcentral. Lineage: Eukaryota; Metazoa; Chordata; Mammalia; Carnivora; Canidae.
UCUGGAAAUUGGCGAUUUUUUUCUUCCAAAUCAGGAGGGAGCAAUUUGAGGAAGGUCUUGGAGGCAUGUCAAGUUGGAGAAACGCAAGCCCUGUAGUUCAGUGAGGCACGGAUGGAAGGUACACCUGAGGAACGGUAAGAAGUGAGGUGAGGGGACCUGGGACGUAGGUUAAUUCCCUCUCGUACAGCAGUAGGACAACA